RNAcentral lists this long non-coding RNA (463 nucleotides) under Homo sapiens (human). Its description in RNAcentral is "HSALNT0342930". The record is from RNAcentral. Lineage: Eukaryota; Metazoa; Chordata; Mammalia; Primates; Hominidae.
GCAGGUUCCUGUUUGUCCUCGCACCCCCCUCCCUCCUGAUGGUGACCUUGUCCCAGGUCUUCUACCAGGCCUUCUACCAGAUGCUUUGCUGAGAAUUCACAGAGGCCGUAGACCUGAAGAACCAACAACCUUCCAUAGGCUUUGAGGUCCCACUCCGGCAGCAGGACGUGCUGGCUCCCAGGAAUCACUCUCUGUGGAAGUUUGAGUGACUCAUUGCAGAGAGGAAUUGAUGAAGUCAACAGCUGCUGGAAAAACUUCUUUUUCCUUAAUAGCUGUAUCAACAUGUGGUUGCUAUUAUUCAAGUAAGAAAAAUAUGUAUAUCAAACAUCCAUGGUAGUCCUUGCUAAAAUUUUCAUUAGAGAGACUCAUGUUUUGACAUUAAAAAAAGUUCAAAUGGGUACCUUAGAGGAUGUUUUGUUGGAGAACAAAAUCAUGGAGAAAUAAAGUCUAAAAAGAAAAAUAA